UGAGUGACCCCUGAGUGACCCCUGAGUGACCCCAAACCCCCCAAGUGACCCCUGAGUGACCCCAAGACCCCAAAAUGGUCCCCAAUUAACCUUAAGUGACCCCGAGUGACCCCUGAAUGACCCCAAGUGACCAUAACCCCUCCCAAUGACCCCAAAAUGACCCCGAGUGACCCCAGAGUGACCCCAAAUGACCCCAAGUGACCCCGGCCCGGCCCCUCCCCCACAGACUCCAUUGGUCUCCAUGGCAACGGCUCCGAGCGAUUUUAUUGGCUGGGAAAGGGGGAAAGAGGGUGGGGCCAGAGACAGAGGUCAAAGGUCAAGGAUGGAAGGGGAGGGGUCAAAUGGGGGAGGGGCGAAGUGGACAUUGACCACUGAGUGACCACUGAGUGACCAAUGAGUGACCACAAAGUGACCAAUGAGUGACCAGAGGUGGCCAAAAUGACCAAAGGUCACUUCAGAGUGACCAGUGGUGGCCUUGCAGUGACCAUGAGUGACCAGAACUGGUCAAGAGUGACCACGAGUGACCAGUGGUCACUUUGGGCUGGUCAGGAGUGACCAGUGGUCACUUUGAGGUGGUCAAGGUGGCUGGAAGUGACCAGUGGUCACUUUGGGGUGACCAUGAAUGACCAUUGGUCAUUUAGAGUAACCAUGAAUGACCAGUGGUCACUCUGAGAUGGUCAGUGGUCACUUUGGGGUGGCCUGGAGUGGUCAGUGGUCACUUUGAGGUGCCACGAGUGACCAAUGGUCAGUUUUGGAGUGACCAUGAGUAGUCAAGAGUGACCGAUGGUCACUUUGGAGUGACCAGGAGUGACCAGUGGUGGCCUUAGAGUGACCAGGAUUGACCAAUGGCCACUCUGAGGUGGUCAACGUGGCUAGAAGUGACCAUUGGUCACUUUGGGGUGACCUUAGAGUGACCAUUGGUCAUUUAGAGUGACCAGAAGUGACCAGUGGUCACUCUGAGAUGGUCAGUGGUCACUUUGAAGUGACCAUAAGUGGUCAGUGGUCACUUUGGGGUGACCAUAAGUGGUCAGUGGUCACUUUGGGGUGGUCAGAGAUGGCCUGGGAUGGUCAGUGGUCACUUUGGAGUAGCCAGGAGUGACCAGUGGUCACUCUGAGGUGGUCAGUGAUGGUCAGUGGUCACUCUGGGUGGUCAGUGGUCACUUUGGGGUGGUCACUGAUGGUCAGUGGUGGGCAGUGGUCACUCUGGGGUGCUCAAGAUGACCACAAGUGACCAAUGGUCACUCUAGAGUGGUCAGUGGUCACUUUGGGGUGGACAAAGGGGGUCAAGGGUGGCCUUGAGGUGGCCACAGAGUGACCAAGAGUGACCACAGACGGUCAGUGAUGGACACAAAGUGACCACAGGUGGUCAUUGGUCACUU
RNAcentral lists this long non-coding RNA (1379 nucleotides) under Zonotrichia albicollis (white-throated sparrow). RNAcentral's name for it is "lncRNA (ENSZALG00000001835.1)". The record is from RNAcentral. Lineage: Eukaryota; Metazoa; Chordata; Aves; Passeriformes; Passerellidae.